Molecule: ribosomal RNA, 527 nt
Filed under: uncultured bacterium
Lineage: Bacteria
Description: bacterial SSU rRNA
Rfam family: Bacterial small subunit ribosomal RNA
Source: RNAcentral
GGCCUAAAACAUGCAAGUCGAACGCCGUAGCAAUACGGAGUGGCAGACGGGUGAGUAACACGUGGGAACGUGCCCUUUGGUUCGGAACAACACAGGGAAACUUGUGCUAAUACCGGAUAAGCCCUUACGGGGAAAGAUUUAUCGCCGAAGGAUCGGCCCGCGUCUGAUUAGCUAGUUGGUGGGGUAACGGCCCACCAAGGCUACGAUCAGUAGCUGGUCUGAGAGGAUGAUCAGCCACACUGGGACUGAGACACGGCCCAGACUCCUACGGGAGGCAGCAGUUAGGAAUCUUGGACAAUGGGCGCAAGCCUGAUCCAGCCAUGCCGCGUGAGUGAUGAAGGCCUUAGGGUUGUAAAGCUCUUUCAGCGGGGAAGAUAAUGACGGUACCCGCAGAAGAAGCCCCGGCUAACUUCGUGCCAGCAGCCGCGGUAAUACGAAGGGGGCUAGCGUUGCUCGGAAUCACUGGGCGUAAAGCGCACGUAGGCGGAUCUUUAAGUCAGGGGUGAAAUCCUGGAGCUCAACUCCAG